Molecule: ribosomal RNA, 330 nt
Filed under: uncultured bacterium
Lineage: Bacteria
Description: bacterial SSU rRNA
Rfam family: Bacterial small subunit ribosomal RNA
Source: RNAcentral
UGUGUAGGCGGUCCUCUAAGUUUGGUGUGAAAUCUCCCGGCUCAACUGGGAGGGUGCGCCGAAUACUGAAGGACUAGAGUGCGGGAGAGGAGAGUGGAAUUCCUGGUGUAGCGGUGAAAUGCGUAGAUAUCAGGAGGAACACCGGUGGUGUAGACGGCUCUCUGGACCGUAACUGACGCUGAAACACGAAAGCGUGGGUAGCAAACAGGAUUAGAUACCCUGGUAGUCCACGCCCUAAACGAUGCAUAUUUGGUGUGGGUCAUUCAGUUGAUCCGUGCCGGAGCUAACGCGUUAAAUAUGCCGCCUGGGGAGUACAGUCGCAAGGCUGAA